GUGCCACGCUGAAGCCGCUUCACGAGAGGAGGAGAUGCAAAUGAAGAGGACGGGCUACACAGAACAAAACAUGACAUACGUGGUGAUAGGCUCUCAGGGUCCUGCUGCUGUAGUUGGGCCAGCCAGAACCUUGUGUGACUCUUACCCUGAUGACAGCAUCAAACAGGAUGCCAGCCUACAGUUUCAGAUGGGCUGAUGCCAGAGGUCAUCAACCCCACAUCUAGUGGCCAAAGUAACGAAAAGUCUGCCAAAAAUGAGGAAACAAAAAUCAGGCAGUGAGCAACAAAGGCAGGGAACAAAAACCCAAAACACAAGGAAACACAGGGGCCAGCACGAGGGCAAAGAAACAGCAACCCAAAAGGAACAGACCAAACAAAAACAACGGCACAAGGCUGAAAAACAGUCCAGAAACAAGAACAAACCACGGGGAUGAGAAACAAAAACAGGAUGAAACAAAAAGCGAUGGCACAAGGCCGGAGAGCCCCAAUGUCCAACACAAAGGUCAAAAACAAUGAACAGAUCAGGAGCUAAAACAAAACAAAAACAGCAAACGGCAGGAGAAAACACAGUCCACAGUUCAGGGGAGUCCAUGGGAAGUCAAAAACAAAAAAUACACAGUUCAGGAGGCCGACCGCGCUCCCAGCGGCGAUGAGGAGGAGACGGGACUGGAGGCCGACCGCGCUCCCAGCGGCGGCGGCGACGAGGAGGAGGAGAAGACACUGGAGGCCGACCACGCUUCCAGCGGCGGCGACUCACUGGAGCCACAACGUGCCUGGACUCCCCUGAGCCCAGGGUGGUUGAGGACACAGGACACUCGGAAGGUCCGGACCGGGCGGGACCCCCUGGCAGCUCGGACUGAGUGGGACACUCGGAAGACACAGGCGGCUCGGACUGAGCGGGACCCCCUGGCAACUCAGGAAAUAUGAAACUAAACACAAAACGCUGGGCAAACGGCCCAGGACAUGACAGUUUCACCAUUUGUUUACUAUUUGUUUGUAAUUGUGCAUUUUUUAUGCUCCACUUUUACUGUUUAUAAAUGAUAGAUGUGGACAAAGUUCAAAGUAUAUUUCAGAUCAUUGAUGCAUGUUCUGAGAAAGAAAGAUGGGCAAAUGUUCAAAUGAACAUUCAUUGUUAAAAUGUUAAAUAAAGUUCCUUUAUUCAUUGGCUACAUUUGUAAUGUGUCCAUUUUAAAUUUUGACUCAAGAAGUUAAUGAUUACUAGUAAUUGUGUUGCAUGGGGUCUCGGUUCAAGUCUGCCCCACACCAGUUCCUUUGGGAGGGAGUGGUGGCCUAGGGGAGAAGAAGAGGGUUCAUCACUGAGAGGACCCUGGUUCAAAUCCUCGGGCUGGCAUCACUGUGGGUCCCUGAGCAAGCCCUCCC
Molecule: long non-coding RNA, 1379 nt
Organism: Archocentrus centrarchus (flier cichlid)
Lineage: Eukaryota; Metazoa; Chordata; Actinopteri; Cichliformes; Cichlidae
Exons: 4
Source: RefSeq, a predicted model, not a curated record